GGAGGGCUAUAGCUCAGUGGUAGAGUGUUAGUCCCAGGUUCAAUCCCUGGCGUCUCCA
RNAcentral lists this transfer RNA (58 nucleotides) under Podarcis lilfordi (Lilford's wall lizard). RNAcentral's name for it is "tRNA.Undet". The record is from RNAcentral. Lineage: Eukaryota; Metazoa; Chordata; Lepidosauria; Squamata; Lacertidae.